AAACACAUAAUGUAGGCAUUUACCUAGAGCAUUUUAUUUUCAAGGGAAAUAAUUGUGGUCUGACUGUAUUAUUUUGAAAAUCACAGUUGAGAUUUUUUUAUGUGUGCACCGGUACAGUUUUGCGGAGAAGCGAAAAACAAGUGUCUGAUACAUAUAGUUGCAGUCUGUCUUUGGAAGCUGUAGAAAUAACAAGAAAGAGGCUGACAUAGUGUUUUGGUAGGGAAAAGUUUGAGUAUGCACAUGUACAGUUGUUUGACCUGUCUUACCCUGUGGCAGUCCAAGAAGAUGUUACCAUUAUGAAAAAUGCAAGAGAACUUGAAGACAAUGGUUAGUGCAGAAGGGACAUAAAAGUUAUGAUAAAAGUAACAGAUAUAAAUAAGAAGUGUGUUGUCAUGUGAAAUGGACUUUACCCCAACUGUGCUGCAUGAUGUAUAUUCAAGUGCGAGACAGCCAUGCACCAGCUGUAAACUGAGAUGGACCCAUAUAAUAAAUAUGUUGACUUUUCUAUGUAUUAUCAUCUGUACAGAAUGUGUUCAUGACAAGACUGUAUACAUAUAUUGUUAAAUCAUUUUUUAUUUCCAUUAUUGCAUGCAAGAAGCAAGCAUUUAACAAUUGCAUUCAUAGAAAUGUUAAAAUGUGAUCAAUCUAAUUUAAAGAAACACAUUUAAUUGGACUUUUUAAGUUUCAUAGUAUUUGUGGUGGAGAUUGACCCAGUCAUUCAGCAACUUAUACAGUCUGUGUGUCAUUUCUUGUAUGUUAUAGUUUUCUUAAUAAUACAUGUACAUUAAAUGUCAAUGGUAAGAUGAACU
Long non-coding RNA from Mercenaria mercenaria, 809 nucleotides. RefSeq lists it as uncharacterized. Lineage: Eukaryota; Metazoa; Mollusca; Bivalvia; Venerida; Veneridae. The transcript has 5 exons. The record is from RefSeq and is a predicted model, not a curated record.